CAGUAGCCACGGUAAUACGUAGGUGGCAAGCGUUGUCCGGAAUUAUUGGGCGUAAAGCGCGCGCAGGUGGUUCCUUAAGUCUGAUGUGAAAGCCCACGGCUCAACCGUGGAGGGUCAUUGGAAACUGGGGGACUUGAGUGCAGAAGAGGAAAGUGGAAUUCCAAGUGUAGCGGUGAAAUGCGUAGAUAUUUGGAGGAACACCAGUGGCGAAGGCGACUUUCUGGUCUGUAACUGACACUGAGGCGCGAAAGCGUGGGGAGCAAACAGGAUUAGAUACCCGUGUAGUCCCUGUCUCUUAUAC
Molecule: ribosomal RNA, 301 nt
Filed under: uncultured bacterium
Lineage: Bacteria
Description: partial 16S ribosomal RNA
Rfam family: Bacterial small subunit ribosomal RNA
Source: RNAcentral